Molecule: non-coding RNA, 32 nt
Filed under: Trypanosoma brucei brucei
Lineage: Eukaryota; Euglenozoa; Kinetoplastea; Trypanosomatida; Trypanosomatidae
Source: RNAcentral
AAAAUAAUAGAAGUUUAUGAUGGAAUAUGCUG